CUCAUAAAGCUUGUCGGAGAGAUUACGAAAAACGGAGGAGGGAAUAAUUGAAAGCGCGUCGGCCAUGUCCGUAGAAACACCAAAACCCUGAGGAUCCCCGUCACUUAGAUGUAAAUUCCUGAAAGGAAUCAGAAGUCAAAUUCUUUUCCUGAUCUUCUCCUGUUCGAAUCUAAACAUUUUCGUUCACUUCCACUUCUAUUAGGGUUCGCAGCACAGAGAGAUCAGAAGAAGACGAAGAAAUUAUUAAGGGAAAUCAGAUCCGAGAGAAGAAGGAGAGCAAUCGACAGUGAUGAAAAUGCAACCUUAUUUUGAGAGGGAGGAGGUCGCUCGUUCGUUC
RNAcentral lists this unclassified non-coding RNA (337 nucleotides) under Hevea brasiliensis (rubber tree). Lineage: Eukaryota; Viridiplantae; Streptophyta; Magnoliopsida; Malpighiales; Euphorbiaceae. The record is from RNAcentral.